AAUCCAAACAUAUCCUUCAGUGGCAAGUUACUAUGCAAUUCAAUCCCUCAGUCAUACUACAUCCUGAAUAAGUGCAUGAGUAUGGAUCAAUAUCAAACUCAAUCACUUAUUCAUGUCUUUCUCAAUCUUUUAUAUGAUAAUUCAAACAAUGAAACAUUAGAAACUCUUUCUAAUUUUUAUUUUGCUUUGAUCAAAGGCUUCUUGAAUCAUCAUAAGAUUAGAGUAAG
Molecule: long non-coding RNA, 227 nt
Filed under: Phoenix dactylifera (date palm)
Lineage: Eukaryota; Viridiplantae; Streptophyta; Magnoliopsida; Arecales; Arecaceae
Description: long non-coding RNA (PDAC_LNC017273)
Source: RNAcentral